CAGUAGCCACGGGAAUACGAAGGGUGAAAGCGUUAAUCGGAAUUACUGGGCGUAAAGCGUGCGUAGGCGGUGAGUUAAGUCUGCUGUGAAAUCCCCGGGCUCAACCUGGGAAUGGCAGUGGAUACUGGCUCGCUAGAGUGUGUCAGAGGAUGGUAGAAUUCCCGGUGUAGCGGUGAAAUGCGUAGAGAUCGGGAGGAACAUCAGUGGCGAAGGCGGCCAUCUGGGACAACACUGACGCUGAGGCACGAAAGCGUGGGGAGCAAACAGGAUUAGAUACCCCGGUAGUCCCUGUCUCUUAUAC
Molecule: ribosomal RNA, 301 nt
Filed under: uncultured bacterium
Lineage: Bacteria
Description: partial 16S ribosomal RNA
Rfam family: Bacterial small subunit ribosomal RNA
Source: RNAcentral